This 231-nucleotide non-coding RNA is filed under the name Lotharella globosa. Lineage: Eukaryota; Cercozoa; Chlorarachniophyceae. The record is from RNAcentral.
AUGUCUGUUGUAAAUCCCUUUCCCACACUCUUGUUUUUCGUUACGUUUUUUGGUCAAGCUUUGUUGUACUUCAUAGAAAGUUUGGCUUGAGAGAAAAAACCCCCCACCCUCGUAGCCAACAACAUCUCUCUUUAAAAAAAUGGUAGUCAAUAUCUAUGGUUAUGAAUUCUCCCUCCCGUCAUUUUGUUCUAUAUGUAUUCUUAUUUUUUAAAAAGAGAAACACAAAGUAAU